GAUGAAGAACGCAGCGAAAUGCGAUACUUGGUGUGAAUUGCAGAAUCCCGCGAAUCAUCGAGUUUUUGAACGCAAGUUGCGCCCGAAGCCAUUCGGCCGAGGGCACGUCUGCCUGGGUGUCACGCAUCGUUGCCCCCCCAAACUCCGGUUCGGGCGGGGCGGAAGUUGGCCUCCGUGCGUGCCUGCGCGCGCGGUUAGCCCAAAAGCGAGUCCUCGGCGACGAGCGCCACGACAAUCGGUGGUUUUUUUACCCUCGUUCCUCGUCGUGCGUGCCCCGUCGCCCGAACGCGCUCUUGCGACCCUUACGCGUCGCCUCGGCGGCGCUCCCAACGCGACCCCAGGUCAGGCGGGACUACCCGCUGAGUUUAAGCAUAUCAAUAAGCGGAGGA
Molecule: unclassified non-coding RNA, 389 nt
Filed under: soil metagenome
Description: partial contains 5.8S ribosomal RNA, internal transcribed spacer 2, and large subunit ribosomal RNA
Rfam family: 5.8S ribosomal RNA (bases 1-122)
Source: RNAcentral